This is a non-coding RNA of Caenorhabditis elegans, 163 nucleotides long. NCBI's taxonomy places the organism in Eukaryota, Metazoa, Nematoda, Chromadorea, Rhabditida, Rhabditidae. The record is from Ensembl.
UUUGAAAUUGUCCAAAAACAACAGGAGAAGUAAGUGCAUGUGUUUAAGUGUUUAAGUCACCGAACUUUCAGCUAUGGUAGGCACAGAAGCACGUCCUCCUGCAUACGUGUUCGCCUUAUUACUGCCUGAUCAAGUACAUACCGCCUAUUUUCUAAUUUUUCAU